CAGGAGUAAUUCAUCAGUGAAUGUUUCACUCAGUGGUCCCAUCUAAUGGAAGCUGAAACAAGCUGGUGAGCAUGUGUGUGAACCUUAAAAAAAAAUCCUAGGAAGGCAACAAAGGCUGAAAUGUGAGCACACAUCAAUGAAGAAGAGAAGUUCAAUUAUACCACCAAAGAGAAAAAUCAAACAAGAUCAAUGAGAAGUAGACAAUG
Symphalangus syndactylus (siamang) is the source of this 206-nucleotide long non-coding RNA. RefSeq lists it as uncharacterized. The record is from RefSeq and is a predicted model, not a curated record. NCBI's taxonomy places the organism in Eukaryota, Metazoa, Chordata, Mammalia, Primates, Hylobatidae.